GGUUAAGCGACUAAGCGUACACGGUGGAUGCCCUGGCAGUCAGAGGCGAUGAAGGACGUGCUAAUCUGCGAAAAGCGUCGGUAAGGUGAUAUGAACCGUUACAGCCGGCGAUGUCCGAAUGGGGAAACCCAGUGCAAUUCGUUGCACUAUCGUUAACUGAAUACAUAGGUUAACGAGGCGAACCGGGGGAACUGAAACAUCUAAGUACCCCGAGGAAAAGAAAUCAACCGAGAUUCCCCCAGUAGCGGCGAGCGAACGGGGAGCAGCCCAGAGUCUGAAUCAGCUUGUGUGUUAGUGGAACGGUCUGGAAAGUCCGACGGUACAGGGUGAUAGUCCCGUACACCAAAAUGCACAGGCUGUGAACUCGAAGAGUAGGGCGGGACACGUGGUAUCCUGUCUGAAUAUGGGGGGACCAUCCUCCAAGGCUAAAUACUCCUGACUGACCGAUAGUGAACCAGUACCGUGAGGGAAAGGCGAAAAGAACCCCGGCGAGGGGAGUGAAAAAGAACCUGAAACCGUGUACGUACAAGCAGUGGGAGCACCUUUAUGGUGUGACUGCGUACCUUUUGUAUAAUGGGUCAGCGACUUAUAUUCUGUAGCAAGGUUAACCGUAUAGGGGAGCCGCAGGGAAACCGAGUCUUAACUGGGCGUUAAGUUGCAGGGUAUAGACCCGAAACCCGGUGAUCUAGCCAUGGGCAGGUUGAAGGUUGGGUAACACUAACUGGAGGACCGAACCGACUAAUGUUGAAAAAUUAGCGGAUGACUUGUGGCUGGGGGUGAAAGGCCAAUCAAACCGGGAGAUAGCUGGUUCUCCCCGAAAGCUAUUUAGGUAGCGCCUCGUGAAUUCAUCUUCGGGGGUAGAGCACUGUUUCGGCUAGGGGGUCAUCCCGACUUACCAACCCGAUGCAAACUACGAAUACCGAAGAAUGUUAUCACGGGAGACACACGGCGGGUGCUAACGUCCGUCGUGAAGAGGGAAACAACCCAGACCGCCAGCUAAGGUCCCAAAGUCACAGUUAAGUGGGAAACGAUGUGGGAAGGCACAGACAGCCAGGAUGUUGGCUUAGAAGCAGCCAUCAUUUAAAGAAAGCGUAAUAGCUCACUGGUCGAGUCGGCCUGCGCGGAAGAUGUAACGGGGCUAAACUGUGCACCGAAGCUGCGGCAGCGACACUAUGUGUUGUUGGGUAGGGGAGCGUUCUGUAAGCCUGCGAAGGUGGCCUGUGAGGGUUGCUGGAGGUAUCAGAAGUGCGAAUGCUGACAUAAGUAACGAUAAUGCGGGUGAAAAGCCCGCACGCCGGAAGACCAAGGGUUCCUGUCCAACGUUAAUCGGGGCAGGGUGAGUCGACCCCUAAGGCGAGGCCGAAAGGCGUAGUCGAUGGGAAACAGGUUAAUAUUCCUGUACUUGGUGUUACUGCGAAGGGGGGACGGAGAAGGCUAUGUUAGCCGGGCGACGGUUGUCCCGGUUUAAGCAUGUAGGCGGAGGUUCCAGGUAAAUCCGGUACCUUUUAACGCUGAGGUGUGAUGACGAGGCACUACGGUGCUGAAGUAACAAAUGCCCUGCUUCCAGGAAAAGCCUCUAAGCAUCAGGUAACAUUAAAUCGUACCCCAAACCGACACAGGUGGUCAGGUAGAGAAUACCAAGGCGCUUGAGAGAACUCGGGUGAAGGAACUAGGCAAAAUGGUGCCGUAACUUCGGGAGAAGGCACGCUGAUAUGUAGGUGAAGCCCCUGCGGGUGGAGCUGAAAUCAGUCGAAGAUACCAGCUGGCUGCAACUGUUUAUUAAAAACACAGCACUGUGCAAACACGAAAGUGGACGUAUACGGUGUGACGCCUGCCCGGUGCCGGAAGGUUAAUUGAUGGGGUUAUCCGUAAGGAGAAGCUCUUGAUCGAAGCCCCGGUAAACGGCGGCCGUAACUAUAACGGUCCUAAGGUAGCGAAAUUCCUUGUCGGGUAAGUUCCGACCUGCACGAAUGGCGUAAUGAUGGCCAGGCUGUCUCCACCCGAGACUCAGUGAAAUUGAACUCGCUGUGAAGAUGCAGUGUACCCGCGGCAAGACGGAAAGACCCCGUGAACCUUUACUAUAGCUUGACACUGAACAUUGAGCCUUGAUGUGUAGGAUAGGUGGGAGGCUUUGAAGCGUGGACGCCAGUCUGCGUGGAGCCAACCUUGAAAUACCACCCUUUAAUGUUUGAUGUUCUAACGUUGGCCCCUAAUCGGGGUUGCGGACAGUGUCUGGUGGGUAGUUUGACUGGGGCGGUCUCCUCCCAAAGAGUAACGGAGGAGCACGAAGGUUAGCUAAUCCUGGUCGGACAUCAGGAGGUUAGUGCAAUGGCAUAAGCUAGCUUGACUGCGAGCGUGACGGCGCGAGCAGGUGCGAAAGCAGGUCAUAGUGAUCCGGUGGUUCUGAAUGGAAGGGCCAUCGCUCAACGGAUAAAAGGUACUCCGGGGAUAACAGGCUGAUACCGCCCAAGAGUUCAUAUCGACGGCGGUGUUUGGCACCUCGAUGUCGGCUCAUCACAUCCUGGGGCUGAAGUAGGUCCCAAGGGUAUGGCUGUUCGCCAUUUAAAGUGGUACGCGAGCUGGGUUUAGAACGUCGUGAGACAGUUCGGUCCCUAUCUGCCGUGGGCGCUGGAGAAUUGAGGGGGGCUGCUCCUAGUACGAGAGGACCGGAGUGGACGCAUCACUGGUGUUCGGGUUGUCAUGCCAAUGGCAUUGCCCGGUAGCUAAAUGCGGAAGAGAUAAGUGCUGAAAGCAUCUAAGCACGAAACUUGCCCCGAGAUGAGUUCUCCCUGAGACUUUAAGUCUCCUGAAGGAACGUUAAAGACGAUGACGUUGAUAGGUCGGGUGUGUAAGCGUAGCGAUACGUUGAGCUAACCGAUACUAAUGAACCGUGAGGCUUAACCUU
This 2905-nucleotide ribosomal RNA is filed under the name Klebsiella aerogenes. Its description in RNAcentral is "23S ribosomal RNA". It matches the Rfam family "Bacterial large subunit ribosomal RNA". The record is from RNAcentral. Lineage: Bacteria; Pseudomonadati; Pseudomonadota; Gammaproteobacteria; Enterobacterales; Enterobacteriaceae.